GAGAAAGUGGGAGGAGGGGGAGAAGGUGGGAGGAGGGAGAGGAAGAAGGAUGGAGGAGAGGGCCUUGAAUGUGCAGUGCCCCUGGCAGGGCCUCUCUGACUCCUGUGGGUGGACCCAAUCUUCCUCUUCCAGCACGACCUGGCCAGGCAGGGGAUGAGGAGGGAGCAUGAGGUGGGCUUGGCAGAGGAAGCUGUCCCGGGAGGCAGGGGAGGGCGGGGCUGUUUCUGGAAUCUGCCUGCCCUCCACCCCCACCCCACCCCCAUCGGGGUCCUGUGUUCAGGGAGAGGAGCCCCUCAGUCCGCCUGGCCUCCGGGAGCCCUGGGGCCUCCAAACGUAAGCGCAGGAAAAGGGGAAUCACCCACCACCACUGUCCUGUGUCUCUCAGUCACCGCCUCUCCUUUGACCAUGGCUGGCCAAGCUCUGCGCGAUGCCUUGGUCGCCUCCCUGCCCUACCCAGGGCACCCGAGAUGUGGAGGAUCUGCUCUCCAUGGGCUCCAAAAACCCAGGCCCCACCUGGGACAUUUUCUAGACAAGGAGGCCACCAAGGCCCACGCAGUGAGGGUGGACAGGGAGGGGACAGUGCUCCCAGCCCCGCAGGGCUAGGCUGCAGCGCAAGCCUCGCCGAGCCUCGGGGCCCCGCCCUCCACUCUCCUGGCGCUGGCUGGACCUCCCUCCUGGGGGUGGAGGUCUGUCCUCCACUCCCAGGAAAGGCUGGGAGGAAACUCAUCCAGGGAUUUUCCAUCCCAGAAGCUCUUUAUCCACAAAAGUCCAAGUGCCUUCUGGGAGGGAGCAGGACAGCUGCGCCCACGGGCAGGGGACAGGCCCUGUGUUUGUGCCCUGAGGGCCGGUGGUGGGGGGCUGACUGUGCCCCAAGGGCGGGUGGUGGGGCUGUCUGCGACCCCUCCCCAGUGACUGCGUAGUUUCCGGAACGCCCUCCCAUGACUCCCUCCUAGGGUGUGGUGUUGGAAGGCGGCCCCCACUAUAAACACCGAGGACCCAAGCCCUCCAAGCAUCUGUGGAACAAAGACAUUUUUUAUUUCUUCCUACUGCCUCCACUAUCCAGUGAAUUUUCCUCCCAACUUAGAACAUGAUUCAUCCAGGAGGACCCUGUUUCCAGGGGUUACACAUGCGGUUUCCAUGGUGGUGGCCCUGUACGCCGGUGAAGUGGCACAGGGACAGAGAGGCACAUGCCGGCCCCUCCGAGGGCCCAAGUGGUGCACGCGGCCCUCGGCUCCGCCCUGGCACCUGGGCACGGCGGCCAUCCCCUUCCCCUCCCACCUUUGUAGGGGUGAACCCAUCUCCAUCUCCUCCCUGUGAGGGUCCAGGGGUCUGGCUGGCCCACGUGUUUGCUGGGCACCUAGGGCAGGGCGGCGCCUGGCCCCAGCCUGUUUGCUGAGUGUGAAUGAGUCCGCUGGCGGGAGGCAGCCUGCGGUUGGAUCUCCCCGGGGUCGGGUGGGGCAGGUCCCAGGGCCACAGGUGCGGAAGGUGCAGCCCGUCCUGGUCCCAAGCGGGGGUGCGACGGCUCAACGCUGGUCCGAGUCAGGCUCUCCCUACGGGACGUCCCCCAGGUGAUCUCUGGGGCCUCGCUGACCACGGGCCUCCCCAGUCACCAACAGGACGGCAGAAGGCAGAAAACAGGCCGGGGGGACGCGGCCGUUGCCACAGGAGCCCGUGGCUGCAGGGAAGACGCCUGGGCUGCAGGCGGGGCUCCUGGCAAGUGUGGGGGACGCGGCCUCCCACCGGUCGGGUCGGAGGGAGCAGGCUUCUGGGGAGAGUGGGCGACAUCGGCGAUCCAGGAAUGGGUCUGCGACAGACUGACUCCCGGAUAGGAAAACACGCGUUUCUGGAGCAUCGCCUGUAACUGGAAAGACCCGGCCACACAGUCAAGGCUCAAUUCCAGGGGCUGUUCCGUCAAUCACGGGCCCUGGGACGGUGGCCCCGGACUGCGGGGAAGAGAAGCUCUGCGCGCCCUCGUUCGUUCCGGGAGCGCCUCUGGGAGCCGCAGACUCUGGAUAUCGGAGGGCGGGCGCGGCCCCGUGGCGGGAGACCAGGGUCCGGAUAUCGGAGGGAGGGCGCGACCCCGUGGCGGGAGACCAGGGUCCGGAUAUCGGAGGGAGGGCGCGGCCCCGUGGCGGGAGACCAGGGUCCGGAUAUCGGAGGGCGGGCGCGGCCCCGUGGCGGGAGACCAGGGUCCUGGGCUUGCGUCCCGCCCUCUCUGCGUUGCCUUUAGCGACUCCUCUGAGACGGGCUGAGGCGGAAACUCCCGCCCUGAGUGUGAAACUCAGGAGCUCGCUGAGGCCCCCUGGUGCUUCCCGGGGCCACGUGCACGGGCCUAAUUUCAUUUUGUUCCAUUGCCCGUACGCUGAGAAUUUCAUUUUCAGUGAGAAUCCGCCAUAGAAGCUCUGCUUCUGGGAACUGUCAUUUCAAAGAGACGCAGAAAAAAAAAAAAAAAAAA
Molecule: non-coding RNA, 2455 nt
Organism: Chlorocebus sabaeus (green monkey)
Lineage: Eukaryota; Metazoa; Chordata; Mammalia; Primates; Cercopithecidae
Source: RefSeq, a predicted model, not a curated record